UUUCCGUAGGUGAACCUGCGGAAGGAUCAUUACUGAGUGAGGGCCCUCUGGGUCCAACCUCCCACCCGUGCUUAUUGUGCCUUGUUGCUUCGGUGCGCCCUCGUCUCGGCCGCCGGGGGGCUUCUGCCCCCGGGUCCGCGAGCACCGGAAACCCCAUUGAACUCUGUCUGAAGAUUGCAGUCUGAGCAUAAACUAAAUAAGUUAAAACUUUCAACAACGGAUCUCUUGGUUCCG
Molecule: unclassified non-coding RNA, 234 nt
Filed under: plant metagenome
Description: partial contains small subunit ribosomal RNA, internal transcribed spacer 1, and 5.8S ribosomal RNA
Source: RNAcentral